This is a long non-coding RNA of Lycium barbarum (goji berry), 696 nucleotides long. RefSeq lists it as uncharacterized. The transcript is spliced from 4 exons. NCBI's taxonomy places the organism in Eukaryota, Viridiplantae, Streptophyta, Magnoliopsida, Solanales, Solanaceae. The record is from RefSeq and is a predicted model, not a curated record.
GAAUAAAUAUAACACUAAUAUAACAACUCUUUUGCGAAAGAAAGAGUCCGCUCAUCUCUCUUUCUCCAUUGAAAAAAAUUCCUUAACCCUAGCCCCUCAAUCUAACAAUUAUUCUUCAAUGUUUCUCCCAAAUACAAAAUUAAAACCGUCCAAGACUGUACUGUUGUUUUUCUUCCAUCGUCUCAUCUCUCUCUUAGUCAUUUGAUAGUUUUGACAAGUUUGGGGAAAAUUAGGACUGGAAAUCGACUAUUUUGACCCAGAGAACACCGUUACUUCGCCGAUUUUCAAGUUUCCUUGGUGACCCAUUAAUCUUUUUGAAUGUUGCUUUUCCUAAGAGUAAUAAGGGUAAUGACAGUCACUAUACAACAAUGGCAAAUCCGGUGGUGUGCCACUCACCGUGACAGAGUUCCAGGUAGGAUCGACCUCUGUUUCUCAUGGCUGAUAGUGGUGCGAGAGUUGCUGCUUAGAGCCUUAUAGGGUGAGCACGGGGACGUCGGCCUCCUGGGAAAUUCUUCCUUUAGUUUAUGUCUUACUUGAUAUUCCGACACAUAUUCAGACUACUGAUGUAUUAUUGAUAUUUCCAAACUCAUAGAUCCUAGUUAAUUGCUCUUGUAUAACUAGGCAGAUUUCUGGGGUGGUUUGAUGUAUUUUCGCAUAUUCUAUCUAUUAUUAUGUCAGACUUACGUAUUUCUAUCU